Molecule: long non-coding RNA, 40529 nt
Filed under: Triticum aestivum (bread wheat)
Lineage: Eukaryota; Viridiplantae; Streptophyta; Magnoliopsida; Poales; Poaceae
Description: long non-coding RNA (TAES_LNC005952)
Source: RNAcentral
UAGCCGGCUGCCACUCAAGGAGGUCGUCCAUUUCCGAGCUGGGAAACUGGCAUGCACCGGACGCUUUCCUGGGGCGUGGUACUGAAUGAAUUCCUUUUGCUGUAUACUUGUUUGAUUUUUGCUAUUUAUAUGGAAACAACUGGGGCCUGGUUAUGUACAUGAGAAACGGGAUAGGGUGUUUCUGCUCCGUUGGGUGGUUGCUGAAUAAUAAUAUGUCCAAGGUGUUUGUUUCAACUCAGAAGGUCCUUCUGAGAAGGAGGAAUUCAUGCUACUACUGUUCAUCUAUCAAGCACCCUACAUACUCCCUCCGAUCCAUAUUACUUUUGCGGGAAUAUUAUCUUUUCUGCAAACACAACCUACUUGCCGUUUUUCUUUACAAUACGUUUCUGUAUUAAGUACAUUUCUGCGUGGCACUGUAUUCUUGUCUGCCCUCGUUGAACGCAUUCAAAGUUUGACCUGACGACGUUACGUUACUGUUUCCUGGGGUGCGCCUGGUCCUCUGCUGCAGCAGCAGCAGCACAGUGAAAACGAGCCAAUGGGGGUCCUCUACAGCAGCCAAGGCGAGAGAAAUCUUGUGCUGUCCGUGGCACGUAUCGUGCAAUCAAGGUCAAGGCUUGCCUGCAUCUGCACUGAAAGUGUACUUGUGUACAAGCUGCUACACACUCGCAUCGCUAUAUUAAGGCCAACUUCAAAGCACGAUCCAAACGGACGUCUGUUUUGCCUGGAUUCGAUUCGUUUGGGUAGGGCAAUGAGGUCGUGUCCGGGCCUUUCCAGAGAUCCGGUGGCCGUGCGUCCAAGACGCGGAUGCAUGCUUUAGCCGCAUCCUGUCCGCCACGGCCAAUAUGUCCAUAUAUUCAUAUUUCAAUGUUUAAAACAAGUUUACACGUUCAAAUAUUAAUUGUCUUAAAUAAAAAUAGUUUUACAGCCCAAUUAAAACUGUCUCGAAUAAAAUAAUUUUACAACCAAAUUGAAAUUGUCUUGAAUAAACAUGAUGAAACAAUACAAUCUAUUGGUUGCCAAUGUGAUUCUGCAUGUGUUCAAUCAAGUCAUUUUGAAGCUCCAAAUGAGUGUGCCAAUCACACAUUUCACGAUGGAAUUGGAUAAACUGUUCAAACGUGGCCGGUUCUUGGUGCAGGGGCUCAACAUUUUCACCUUGCAAAUCAAAUCCUUGGUCGAAGAUGCUGUUAUCACGCGCGUCCUCGAUGAUCAUAUUGUGCAUGAUCACACAAGCAGUCAUCACCUCCCAAAGCUUCCCUUCAUCCCAUAUCAGUGUAGGGUUUCGAACGAUACCUCAUCGGGAUUGAAGCACACCAAAAGCAUGUUCCACAUCCUUUCUAGCACUCUUGCAUUUGGGCAAAUCUUUGUCUCUUCUCACAUUGGGGGUUUGAGAUUGUCUUCACAAAAGUUGACCACUGAGAUUAUAUACCAUCAUCUAGGUAGUAUCCAUUGUUGUGGUGGUGGCCAUUGAUCUCAAAGUUGACAGGUGGGGAGUGACUUUCUGCAAGCCUUGCGAAGACUGGAGAACGCUGCAGCACGUUGAUAUCAUUAUGAGAACAUGCCAUGCCGAAGAAAGAAUGUCAUAUCCAAAGAUCUUGCGAAGCCACCGCUUCUAAUAUGAUAGUGCAUGUUUUAACAUGCUCCUUGUAUUGGCCCUGCCAAGCAAAUGGACAGUUCUUCCACUCCCAGUGCAUACAAUUUAUGCUGCCAUGCAUGCCUGGAAAGCUUCUAUCGGCAUUGAUCGCCAACAGCCUUUCUGUAUCAACGACAUUUGGCUGCCUCAAGUACUUAGGGCCAAACACUGCCACCACGGCAUUACAGAAGUUGUACAUUGACAACAGACAUGUGGACUCACUCAUGCGCACGUACUCAUCCACCAGAUCGCCUGGAAUUCCAUAUGCAAGCAUGCGGAUGGCCGCAGUGUAUUUCUGAUAAGAGGAGAAUCCAAGCUUGCCAAGGGCAUCCGUUUUGCACUCGAAAAAUGGGUCAUGAGCAACCACUCCCUCUUGGAUACGAUUGAACACAUGCCUUUCCAUACGAAAAUAACGACAUAAUUUCUCCAGUUUGAAGAGCGGUAUAUUCUCAAAGUAACUGGCAUAGAGCAUGGCGUGGCCUCUCUCUCUGUUGCGCUUCAGGUUGGGAGCACGGCCAGGGACUGACCCCCCUGUACCGAGGCCGUUGCCUUUCUAUGUGGUCGUGAACAACCAGUACAACCAUCACAAGAUCUUCGUCAUCCGAGGACGAAUCAUCCGAUGAAUAAAUGAAGUGGUUGAAGAAAAAAUCAUCUCCACUAUCCAUACCUUUGUGGGCAAAGUAUCAAACACCUUGCGGUUGUGGUGGCAAAGAGGCCGCGAAGAUCACCUCGAUGCAGCAGGGGCUUUGGCGGCCGACUACAGGUCGCUCUGGAGCACCCGACGGAAGCUGCCGUGGUCCAUAGGCGUCACCGGCGGUCGUAUUCCCUCUGGCACCGUAUACGAUGGCGAGAGCCAAAACUCCUCCAAACGACGGCCAAAACUCGUACGAAAGUGCGGGCGUGGUGACGGUCAUGGCGAGACGUGGUUUGGUAUGGACGUCUGGGGGUGAGCAGUGAGGACGCGGCCGAAAAAUAGUGGCGGUGCCGGCGGCGGGGUGGGGCAGGAGGGCGGGUGAAGGCGUUGGAGGUGAAUGGAGCACUAGUGUCCCCGACAGGUGGGCCACGGGGAGGACAAGGGCGUGCGUCCCGCCCGUCCGUGCGAUGCCCGUUUUACCCCAAACGCGACGCAUGUUUAGAUCGGAAACGGACGAAAACCGGACAUUUGUUCGUUUGGGGCCGCGUGUUGGGCUGAUCUAUUUGUCAGUUCUACCUCAAACAGACUAUGACUGGAGUUGGCCUAAGUACUCCCACACAAAGUCCCAUUCUGCUGUGCUGGCGGAUGAUGUAGAGGAUCCGAGAUUCCGAUCGAUGUUCAGAUGAAGCACACCGCACACGUGGUGGUGGUGGUGGUGGUGGCGAAUGAUUCAAACCUGUGUGCGAGCAUAGCAGAGGAGCACGGGAUUGUUGAUUUGAACGGACGGUGAGGUGGACGAUCACAUCACCCGCGUGUAGUGAGUGCAUCAGUCUGCGCCAAGUAAAUGUUCCACCUACCUGGCUAGCUAGCGCACCAUGGCCCCGCUCCUUCUCUGCCCCGCCCGCAGCUCAGCUCAGCUCAAACGGUGUGCUCCAAGACCCAGACAGUCAGGUGCCAUUCAUACCGGAACUGUGCACUUCUUAGUGGUACUGGUAUUUGCACACAAAUUAUUGUGUCAUAAUAUUGCGAGAGCGAUUUUUAUCCAGCCAGGACAUUGCCCAGUUUUAAGCCAUGCCAUAUUCUUUUAGGGGGCUGCAGCCCACGCGGCGCAUCAUCUCUCAAUAGAAAAACACCAACAACCAUGGCUAGCAAUCCUGUCCAUGCACAGCACGUUUGGCCAAAAUGAUUAUGCUGAGACGCAUGAGUCGGAGACUUGGAUUAGUAUAUUUCGCCGUUCCGAUCGAGCACCCCAAAGAAGAAGAAAGAAAAAAAGAACUGCCGGCCAGUCUCCAGUCUUCCUCCAAAGUCCAAACCGUGAGGCCGGCCGUGCGUGCAUGAUCUCCAGUCUCUAGCUGCCAUGCAUAAUGCAUUGCAGUGGCACUGGCAGCUGCUCUGCUCCACCGCCGACCCACGCACCCCCGGCCGGCCUCCUCAGGAAGGAAAGCAUCGUAAAGGCCAGACGCCAGCAAAAGCGGGUACGCGAGGGAGGCGUCAACGGAGUGCUAAAGCGGAAAAAGAAAAAGGAAAUCUACCACCAACGCAGUGGGCAGUAAUGGUGGUGCUCGUACGUGAACGUACCAAAGUGAGAAACGCACGGCACCAUAGACCAGAGAACUCGAGAGUAGAGCGCCCACUGAUCGUAUGUCCACUAUGCAGUCAACGCAGUGCUUUGGGCAGUACGUACCACUGUACUACGUAGUACUAGUACACGUGGAGUGCAAGUACUAAUGCCGUGCUGCUCUUACUCCAAUAGUUGCCGUCAUGGGAUGGGAUAAGGGCAUCUGCAAUGUUCACCCGUAAAUUUUCUUCCGCAUUCGUUCACGAAACAGGAUCACUAAUCUUACGUCACGUCGUCACAUCUACGAUGGUUCACCCGAUCUCACAUAUAUUUCUCUCAUCUGCUCGUCGGAUCAAAUCCUAGUCACUUCACUCCACUCCUUUCUGCUACCCAAACUCACCUUCGAGGAUUUCCAACAUGGCGAGCAGCGGACGAGUCCUUCAUCUUCAGAUUCGUUGACUCCGAGCUCAUCCCACGCGGACCUGAGGAGGAGAUGGCCGUCCGGCUUGUGCUCCGUGGCUCUCGGGAGGAGGCUUGUGCACGACAGCGCUCGGACUCCUUCCGUCGGGAAUCCAUUGCGUCUGCCCAAAUGACGCAUGGAUCUGAUGCUAAGUGUGUCGUCGCUGCCUCACCAGAGGCGGUGUGGUCCGUCUGGCGUCCGAACGCGGUAGCGAACAUGCAACCCCUCGUUGGUGCCAGGGACGGAGCUGCUUGGUAAGCAUGGGGUCAAUUGACCCCAAUGAAAUUAGGCAAUCCUUUAUUAGGUUAGUACUAAUGACUAUUCAGUUAUGAAAGAUGACCCCACUGUCAUAGACAUGAUCCCAAUAGAUUUUUUUCUAGCUUCGUCCUUGGUUGGUGCACCAAGCAGCGGGAUGCACCAUGGACGUCGUUCGACGAAAACAUGGACAACGUACCCGCUGUGUGAGACAACGGGCAUGGGAGGCGGCAGCAGCCCUCGCGGCGGUGGACGUCGGCGAGCCAGAGUCGCAUUCUCCGACACCUCGUAUUGUGCGCAGUCCGGGCGUCGCAACCGCAUCAUGAUGGAUGUCGCUCAUCCCAGGACGGAUCCAUCAUUGAUCUUACGCCCACCGGCAUCGUUCGGGUUUCGGGCACGACGAGAAAGAGUGUGGCAUAGGAGACGGCGGUGCCUUGAGUCCCUGAGCCGGCUCGUGUCCCAUACCUAUUUUACCUGGCCGGCGACCGGACCAACACUCUGAGAAGCGCAGCCGACCGCCGGACAUGGCGAGGUCAGAUGAGCUCCGCUUAAAAAAUCGUUUAUGUUGCAUGUAAUAAUAUGGAUUUAAGAUUUCUAAUUUAAAAUAUCCGGAUAUAAAAUGCAUUAUUUGAGACGUGAUCAAUCAAUGUUUUGCGAAAGUUUGAGGAUCGGAUUUGCGAAGUCCGGCCGCAGAUGCUUUGAGACCGUCGUAUGAUCUCAUCGCCCGUGCGCACGUCCGGCCCCCUCGUUCCUGACAUCGCAGCAUGCUCCACCGACGACCCACGCAGACGUGCCUCACCAGGAAAAGAAAGCGUAAAAGAUCAGACGCCACCAGUGAGUGAGACCCGGGUGAUGGAGCGUCGGCGUAGAAAAGGCACAAGUAGUGGUAAAAGGAAAUCCGCCACCAACGGUCAGUAAAAGCUGUACGUACUCCUACGUACCAAAGCAUCAAGGAAAGCAGCUCUAUCUGAUUGGAACCCGAGAGCAAAGCUCCCACUCAAAUCAUGAUAAGCCCACUAUGCACACAACGCAGUGCCUCAAGCGGAAUAACCCCCUAGUACUGGCAGUACAUGUCAAAGUACUCGUACCAUGCUGCCAUCACGGGGUCAAUCAAAAUAGGAUUUGGUACUCACUCCAAUAGCAACGCUUGUAGUUGUCGCUAAGUGGUCUACAUGUUUAAAUGUAAUUUUUAUUAUUUCUGACAUUUAUUGUACUGUUAUGAUUGAAUAUAAAUAGAUUGGAUGUUUUCAUGCAAAAAAAAGUAGCAAAUUCUCAAGGGCAAAGGACAGAAGAUCCCAAAGGCAACAUUUGAGGGUUUUUUUUGGUUUGAGAGAUUAAGGCCUGUCUAGCAAAUUCUCAAACCAAUAGUUCAAAAAGUAUAGCAUUUUUAUCCUCAAAACUUACCCCCUCCAUCCUGAAACGCACCUUCUCAGCAAAUUCUCAAACCAACAAUUCAAAAAGUAUAGCAUUUUUCGUAAGGAUUCUAAUCCAACGAAUCAAACAUCUUGAGUAGAUUUUUUUUCCGAAGGAUACAAAUCGUUCAAAUUCCUAUGAACUUUCGUUAAUUCAAAGGAGCACUGAACCAAAUUUCUACGGUUUCCUAUUUCUGCAAGAUUCAAGAUAACACACUGUUCGAAUUCUAUUUUUUUAUAUCCCAGCAUUUUGAGAAUCUUGUGAACCAAAGAUGCACCCGAAUUUUGUCGAAGAUCUAAUGGCUAAUGAUUUUAUUAUCCAGUAUAGUAAUAGCUAAUAAGGAUAUUACCUCUUACCUUAUAUGCCUAGAUAUAUAGUACAUAUUUGUGUAGUUAAGACAAAACUUGGACCAAUAACAACCGGGACAAUAUUGGAUUUAUGUGAUGUGAAUUCAUAAUUACAAAUAAGUAUGUUUUUGGUACCAUUGACCCUAAUUUGCCUCGGAAAGUGAUAACAGGCUCUUAGUAACUUCAACUAUAUAUUGUCAACCAGAGUUGCUUCCACCUUUGGAAUUAACCAAUUUGCUUCAUAGCAGUAAAUUCAAAUUUGAUUAAUUAUCUUCGAUAUUUUAUAUUGGGUAGUCUCACGAAGAAAAUUGGCUAGAAAUCAGGUGGCGCUGCAAAAAAAGGGCAAGAAAUAAAACAAGUGAGCUGAGUGCCAAUGGGCAUGGCGCCAACACCACCGACACAAGCACACAACAAACGGAUCGCCGAGGAACUUUUUUGGUUUCCUAAUUCUAUAGUAUUCAAGAGGCACACCAUUUCAAUUCUACAUUUUCAUAGCCAUUCUUGCAUUUUGAGAAUCAUGUGAAUCAAAGAUGCACCCUAAUUUUGUCAACAAUAUAAUGGAUAAUAAUGUAAUUAUCCGAUAUAAUAGCUAAUAAGGUUAUUAUCUCUUGCCUCAAAUGCCUGGAAAUGUAGGAGGACAGAGAGGGCAAUGGGGUGGCGACUCUGCCACCCCUUCCGGUACCGCCGCCCUCGCCGCCUCCUUCCUUGGAAGAGCGACGGUCGGCGCCAUCGGUGACACCUGCGGCGGCGCAGGAGACGGCGCCUUGUCCGGUUCAUCGAGGAUCCUCCUUGGCGACGGAUCAGGAUCAGGGUUUUUUGAAUCCAACAAAGUGGCGGAUUCGUUUCGAAGACGUUCGGGAUGCCGGACAUUGGAAUGAUGGAUCUCUCUACUCGCAUUCUCCGUCUAGAUGGAUGAAGAUAAGAGAUCAUGAAGGGCAGAUCUUGGGCGGACGACAUCUGGAGGUCGAUGAGAAGAUCACCGUAGGUACGCGUUUAUUGAUUGAUUUAUAUCAGAUUUGUGUUCUUGAGUGUGUGCAGGAGCCUUUGGACAAGGAAGAUCAGAUAGAGGUCGUGGAUCUUACGACGGAGACGGAAGCAUGGAAGUCCAGGCCGCGGUUUGGGGGACGUUUUUGGAUUCUUGCCGACGAGGAUGAGGAUGACGCAAAUCAACCGCCAGACUCUUUGGUUUUCCCAUCUCCACGGCUGGAUUCGGUGGUGCCCGAAUCUUUGACGCACCAACAUGGCGAGGGAGUUCGUUCUGAGGACAAGGUGGAGGUGGUUCGCCGGAUAGUUCACCGAAGGACGGCGGCAUCCGCGAUCCGGCCAUGGAAAGGCCCUUUACCCAAGGUAUGUCUUCAGCCAAUUAAGUUGUCAGAUUUCUUAUUGCCAGAUUCGUGGACUAGAGUGACCAGAAAGAAGAAGAGAAAGGCUAGGCCAGCGACUCGGACGCCGGCGCCGGUGGCCAUCGCGGCGGAUGAGAUCCGGGCGGCCAGGGCAACGCAUUUGAACCUGCUUUUGGGCCAGGUUGGGCCUGAAGCUAAGCGGGCCGAAGCGUUACUGUGCACUUUUGGGCAUGCGUUGGGGCGGUCUGGCUAGGGAGAGCUGGUUGCGUUAAGGCUGGGAUUAGCGGGGCUGGUGGCCCAGGCAAAACCAGGCCCAGGUGUCGUGGUUCUAAGUGUGAUAGUAAUGUAGGGGGUAGGUAUGGAGAGGCAAGAUCUUAUCUAUGGAGUAGUUGUAAGCACACGAGGUUUACGAGUUCAGGCCCUUCUCGGAGGAAGUAAUAGCCUUAUGUCUCAGAGCCCAGAGGCGGUCGACUGGAUUAUGUGUGUAUGAAUCACAGGGGUGCGAACCUUCUACACUGAGGAGGGGGUGGCUUAUAUAGAGUUCGCCAGACCCCUCUGGCCCUCAGUUAUGCAGGGUUUUAAGUACAUUAAGGUCGGGCGUUACUGGUAACGCCCCUAAUAAAGUGCUAUGAUGACCAUAAAAGCUACUUAAUGACCGACCGUUAGCGUGCGGAGUGAAUUUAGGUCUCCUGGCCGUCGAGUGGUUGGAUCUUGGUCGAGUGAUUGCUUCUUGGUCGAGUGUCUUCGAGUCUGUCGAGUGGAACACCUCCAAGUCGAUUGAAGGGUGAUUUCUUCUAGAGAUGUCCUUGGGUAGGGCAGUUAAGACAGGUCCAUGACCCUACCCUAGGUACAUAGCUUCAUCAUUAGCCCCCGAAUGGAUCGAGGUUUGAGUGGGGAAGGAGUUGAGAACUUCUCCGACUCAUUUUUCAUGCCAUGAGCAUAUCUUGUUUCAGAUCAAUGAACCCGAGUGACGACAGCAACUUCCUUUUCAGUCGCCUUGAUCCAUUCUUAGUUUUUUGUCGACUGAGUUUCUUUACUUGAAAAGCUCCGAGUGACGGUGUGGAGGAGAUCUUCCGUCUGACAAGUUGUUCUGCUGUCCGCGGAUUUCGCGGGAUUCAAAUUUUGGGAAGCGCGCGGGGCGGGGGAGGCCGCAGCAAUCGGCUGGGAUAGGGAGGAGCCGCCUCGAUCUCUGCGCCACCUUUUUCGCCACGUAUCACGCGCGCGACUAUUGCGGGAUUUGAUAGGAUCAUCCGGGCCUACCAGUCAGCCACUCGGAAGUAACCUCAUAUAAGGCGUCAGACCGGGGUUUCUUGAACAAUGCGUUCUCAUUUCCUCUUCUCCUCUUCAGGCUUCUUCGUCGUGCUCGCUCUCGCCCCAGCGCCGUUGCUCCGAACGCGUCUCGCCGGUGACGAUGGGGAAGGAGAAGACGGUGGCUCUGGAGCGGGCGAAGAAGGCGACGGCAAAGGCGAAGGGGAAGGCGACCAGUCGGGGUGGAUCUUCCUCAUGAGCCGGCCUGCCGAAGGGCUGGAUCCAGGGCGACUGGAUCCGCUCGACGAUCCGCCAAGAAGACCUCGACGACCUAGCCGACGGAGACUGAUCCCCCAUGGAUGGGUGCGGCUUCCAGGGAAGGAAUCCGAGCCGCAACCUCGGGAGGGUGAGCGCGUUCUCCUUGCCACUCACGCCGACCAUGGGUUUUCCUUGCCUCCUCACCCUUUAUUUCGGGGAUUUCUGAAUUUCUUUGGGGCACAACUCCACCACUUCACUCCCAACACAAUUGUGUAUCUCGCUGCUUUCAUGUCUUUGUGUGAGAAUUUCUUGGGUUGUCGGCCUCACUGGGGUCUUUUCAAGCACAUUUUCACCUGUCGUUCUCAGACGGUGAAAAAGGCCAAUCCGAAUGAUGAGAGAACACAAGUGAUUCAGAUGUGUGGGGAUCUUGGUGUUCAGAUGAGAGGGAAAAGUUCCUUUUCGGCCAUGAUUCUUCCUGACUCGGUCCGCGGAUGGCAGUCGACCUGGUUUUACUUCAAAGACCAGCCGAUGCCAGGGCAGUUGACUGGCCUCCCUCCUUUUACCAUGGACCGAGUGAGGAAACCCUCUUCUUUUAAGGUGAUCCCGAAGGAGAAGGCGCAAGUUAGGGUGCUGGUCGAACGAGUGGUCCAGCUUAUCCGUGACGGGGUCACUGGUAUGGAUCUCUUGGAGGUUUUCCUCCGGCGGCGCAUCCAGCCUCUUCAAGCUCGAGACCAUCCGAUGUGGAUGUAUUCGGGUCUUGACGACACCACUCGGAUUCACCCGGAGGAGGUCGAUGACGACACACUGGAGGGGUGGCUGUCGGGCAUCACCGGAAACAAGGACAACCCCAGGGGAGCCAGGAGAGUUCCUCCAUUCAACCAGUCCCAUGAACCAGAAAAGGUCCAAUCCUGAGCUUUUGAUUAUAAUCUGAAUUCACUCGCGCAGCUGUCUAUACUGCGUCGACUGACUUUAUUCUUUCUGCUUUCUUUCAGGCCCUUAUCGAAAUGUACUCAGUGCCCAACGGAGAGCAAGAGCAAGACCCGGAAGGAGAGGCGAGCGACGGCGACAGUGGCGAAUGGCAUUCUGACGGAGAAGGGGACGAAGAAAGCGACGAAUUAAGUGACGAAGAAGAAGUUGAGUCACCUCCUCGCAGGGAGAGGCGAUCCAAGCUUAACCAAGAACGACCGAGCGCCCGUGAAAAGGCGAUUGCUCAGACUGGUCAGUCUUCAAAGUGUCCUCGGACAUCUUCACCAACCCCAACUAAAAAAGCGUCAAAGCAUCCCAAAGUUGCAGAGCAGAAGCCUCGGAAGGCGCUGCCGAAGAUUAAGAUUGACAUCCCCAUCGCUUCUGCGUGAGUGUCUCCCUUUGUAUUCACUUGACGCUUCGUGCUGUUUAUUUUUUCUUGAUUUAGCCAGACGAACUUUGGAACUGGCAGCGUUGCUACUUCCAGGACCUCAGAUUAUAGGGAUGAGGAUGAGGUAAUGGAGGAUGUAGUCACUUCCAAUCUGCGUAUGAUUUCUGUCAUUCUGUCUUUACUUGGUCGACUCAACUGCAAUGUGUACCAUUGGGUGAUGUGAUUUUGGCGAUUGAUCUUUGAACAGCUCCUAACAUUAUUGACCUCCCCGAUGAUGAUGAUGAAGAGCCUGAGAGGCCUUUGACGAGGAAAAAUAGGAAAGCUCCUGCAGGCAAGGUGCCACAGUCGACGCCGAUGGCGGAACCAAUCGUUCAGGACGCUGGUGAUGCCAAUCGGGGUUCUGUUACCUUCGCCGUACCAUUGUCGAGUGCCCUGCCUUCUUCGUCGACUGCUCAAGCUCCUGCGGACCCACCUUCAGUUUUUGCGAUCCAUCAUGUCCCAGAGGACGAAGUGAAUGCUGCCAAGGAAGCCAUACGCCAGGCGGGCAUUAUGAUGGAUAAGAUGAAGGCAGUGCGGGACGCCAGUCAGGCCGCCUAUGACGCCAGCUCAGCUCUCCAAAGCAAUGUUCAGGUUAGUUGGUCACCGCUUGUUCUGUUAGGAUAUGAUAUCUGAAGACUAUCUUUCCGAAAAUCUUUGCAUCUGUACACCCACUGGGUGCAUCGAAUGAAUUUUUGGACUAGUGGGGGCACGCUGAGUGCACCCACUGGGUGUAGUCCAGGAGACUACGGUGGACUGCUGGCAGUCGACUGUAGUCUUUGUAUUUUGAUUCUUUCGCUCGAUCUGGUCUGGCCGUGUCGAGUUCUGUGGUCUGAGUUCUUCUUUCUUUUUUUUAUUCCCUGCACUCGACUCCGGCGGGCCGGUCGAGUGGGAUCAGAACCGGUGGGGGCACGCAAAGUGCACCCACUGGGUGUAGUCCCCGAGACUAUGGUGGGCUGCGGGCAGUCGACCGUAGUCUUAGUAUUUAUUGUCUUUGUCAUUUUUCGCUGUAAAAUAACUUCCCCUCCCUGAUUGCAGAAAUCUUGUGAUCUCGGAGCUUGCUUUGCUGACUUGGAGAAACAGCAGAUCCAGCUAAACCUUGACUUGGAAUUGGCUCAGCAAAAUCUGAAAAAAGCUCAAGAUGAGGCCGCUGGUAUGGAAGGUAACUGAUUGCCGACUGAACUUCAAUAUAUCUCUUUGGUCUCUUUUUUGAUUCGAUUAUUUCUUUUGCAGAGAAAAUGAAGUUGGCUCUGGACAAGGACUCGGACCUCGCCGCCGCACAAAAAGCAGCCCAAGACAAAACCGUUCUCGCAGACGAGAAGCUUGCUUCAGUCGGAACGCUUGAAGGAGAGGUGACUAGACUGACAUCUUGUCUUAAUGAAGCUAACCACAAAGUGACCAGCCUGAAGAAGGAUAAGGUCGCUGAGGGAGUCCUGGAUUAGGGGGUGUUCGGGUAGCCGGACUAUACCUUCAGUCGGACUCCAGGACUAUGAAGAUACAAGAUUGAAGACUAUGUCCCGUGUCCGGAUGGGACUUUCCUUGGCGUGGAAGGCAAGCUUGGCGAUGCGGAUAUUCAAGAUCUCCUACCAUUGUAACCGACUCUAUGUAACCCUAACCCUAUCCGGUGUCUAUAUAAACCGGAGGGUUGUAGUCCGUAGGACAUCAACACAAUCAACUCCAUAUACAACAAUCAUACCAUAGGCUAGCUUCUAGGGUUUAGCCUCCUUGAUCUCGUGGUAGAUCUACUCUUGUACUACCCAUAUCAUCAAUAUUAAUCAAGCAAUACAUAGGGUUUUACCUCCAUCAAGAGGGCCCGAACCUGGGUAAAACAUCGUGUUCCCUGCCUCCUGUUACCAUCCGGCUUAGACGCAUAGUUCGGGACCCACUACCCAAGAUCCGCCGGUUUUGACACCGACAUUGGUGCUUUCAUUGAGAGUUCCUCUGUGUCGUCGCCUUUAGGCCCGAUGGCUCCUUUGAUCAUCAACAACGAUGCGGUCCAGGGUGAGAUUUUUCUCCCCGGACAGAUCUUCGUCUUCGGCGGCUUCGCUCUCGGGCCAAUUCGCUUGGCCACGUGGAGCAGAUCGAAAGCUACGCCCCUGGCCAUCAAGUCAGGUUUGGAAGCCUAAAUUACAUGGCAGACAUCCACGGAGAUUUGAUCUUUGACGGAUUCGAGCCACAACUAAGCGCGCCGCACUACCUCGAGGGGCAUGAUCUAGCUCUGCCCCCGGACAGUGUCCUGGAGUCCGCACACGCAUCGGUUCCGACCCCUAACUUGGAGCCUAUUGCACCAAUCAAGGAUGAGCGGUUGGACGUCACCUCGGGGGCUGCGAUCCCGAAAGAGAUCGAGCCGAACGCUAGCCCCGCACUCUGCAUGAUCCGUGACUCCGAGGAUCCGGACUCCUCUUCGGACUCCGAACCCCCCGUGCCCCUGCCGAUCGAAUCUGAUUGGGCGCCAAUAAUGGAGUUCACCGCCACGGAUAUCUUUUAGCACUCGCCUUCUGGCGAUAUCCUGAAUUCUCUCAAGUCUCUCUCUUUAUCAGGAGAGCCCUGGCCGAACUACGGUCAGCGAGGAUGGGAUACAGACGAUGAGGAAAUUCAAAGCCCACCCACCACCCACUUGGUAGCCACUGUCGACAAUUUAAACGACGUGCUCAACUUCGACUCCGGAGACAUCGACAGCAUGGAUGACGAUGCAGGAGAUACCGAUGAACCAACGCCCAUAGGGCAUUGGACAGCCACCUCAUCUCACGAUGUGUACAUGGUGGAUACCCCUAAAGGAAGCAACAAUGAGGAAAAGGGGGAUGGAACAGGAGAUCGCCCCCCGAAAAGCAAUCAAAGCGUCGGCGUAAACGCCGACCCAAGCCCCGCCUCGACAAAAACCCAGCCAUAGAGAAGGACGAGCCGGUAGACGACGAGCAGGCCUUAGAGCAACCGUCCGAAUAGGGCAAUACGGAUAGAGAAACCGAACAUCCCUCCUCCGGCGAAAACGGCAUUCCGGACGACCUCACGCCGGAUAAACCUAUGGAGCAGAAGAAUCUCCACGAGAGGCUCGUUGCAACUGCACGCAGCCUAAAAAAGCAGAAGCGAAAGCUAAAAACAGCGGAAGAUGCACUCCGGAUUAGAUGGAGCAAAGUAAUCAAUACCGCAGAUAAAUACGGCGACGGUCGCCGUACUAAAAGCUAUCCGAAAAGAAAGCUACUACCUGAAUUCGACGAAGAGGCCCUAGAGCCCUCGCAUUCAAAAAAUGAGAAAGCCACACGGUCGGAUAGACGAUCCCAUAAAGCGGCAAGCGGCGCCGCACUUAAAUCGGCAUGCGACCCACUUAAGGAUUCGCACCAUGGCCCAGUCAGGUCCAUUUAUGGGCCAAGAAAGCAAGCUCUCGUAAGCAAUGCUACGAAGCCAUCAUCAGAAUCCGGCACACCCAAAUACAGGGGCGCCGCACACCCCCUAUGUUUCACCGAUGAGGUCCUGGACUAUGAAUUUCCAGAGGGAUUCAAACCCGUAAACAUAGAGGCAUAUGAUGGAACAACCGACCCUGGAGUCUGGAUCGAGGAUUAUAUCCUCCACAUACACAUGGCUAGAGGAGAUGAUCUCCACGCCAUAAAAUAUUUACCCCUUAAGCUUAAAGGGCCAGCCCGACAUUGGCUUAAAAGCCUUCCUGAAAACACAAUUGGAAGUUGGGAAGAGCUCGAGGAUGCUUUCCGAGCAAAUUUUCAAGGGACCUAUGUCCGCCCUCCGGAUGCAGACGAUCUUAGUCACAUAACUCAACAGCCCAGAGAAUCAGCUCGGCAGUUCUGGAAUAGAUUCCUCACUAAAAAGAAUUAGAUAGUCGACUGUCCGGACGCCGAAGCCUUAGCAGCUUUCAGGCAUAACGUCCGAGACGAAUGGCUCGCAAGACACCUCGACCAAGAAAAGCCAAGAACAAUGGCCGCACUAACAAGCCUCAUGACCCGCUUUUGUGCAGGAGAGGACAACUGGUUGGCAAGGUGCAGCCCCAGCGACCCAAGUACAUCCGAAACUAGGGAUGGAAACGGAAAACCGCGGUGCAACAAGGACCGUCGCCGGACUAAGGAAAAAAGUCCGAAGAGCAUGGCAGUCAAUGCCGGAUUCAAAGGUUCACGAGAAAAUCAGACAAAACCACCCCUCCAGGAUAACAGGGACGAUCCAUCCAACUUAAAUAAAAUCCUGGACAGGAUAUGUCAGAUACACAGUACUCCCGGGAAGCCUUCUAACCAUACCCACAGAGAUUGUUGGGUUUUCAAACAAUCCGGCAGACUCAAUGCCGAACACAAGGGGCUCGACACACCAAGCGAAGACGAGGACGAACCCCAAAAGCAGAACACCAGGAAACAAAAGAACUUCCCACAAGAAGUAAAAAUAGUGAACUUACUUCACAUAACAAAAUGUGCGGAGCCCAUAAAGGUACGCACCACAUGGCCUAUCCCCAAAGGGUCCCGCCACUGGUUGUCAAAACCAAUCAUCUUCAAUCAGCUAGAUUAUUCUAGAAAUAUCAAGAAUGCAGGCUGGCCUGCCUUGAUACUCGAUCCAAUAAUUGGCGGACUCCGGUUUUCAAAUGUCCUUAUGGACGACGGCAGUGGACUAAACCUGAUAUAUCAGGAUACAAUCCAUCACAUGGGGAUAAACCCAGCAAGAAUCCGCCGCAGCAAAACCUCCUUUCAAGGGGUAACACCUGGUCCGAACACCCAUUGUAUGGGUUUUCUCCGGCUCAAAGUUAUAUUCGGCUCUACCGAUAACUUCCGCCGCGAAAAGCUAACCUUCCAUAUCGUCCCGUUCUCAAGUCGCUAUCAAGCACUACUGGGACGCGAAGCUUUCGCCCGCUUUAACGCAAUACCGCAUUAUGCAUCUCUCAUGCUUAAGAUGCCCGGUCCACGAGGCAUCAUCUCUUUGAAUGGGAAGCACUAAAGUGCGCCUCCCCAAGCGGAGGACUGUGUGGCCGCUUUGACAGCCCCACAGUAAAAUGGCCUCACCGGCCAAAAAACUUCGAAAUAGGUCAUUAAAGACCACGAACGCGGAUAGACGAGUUCGGGACAAAAUCAUCAUUGAUGCAGGCUUAGUGGCCAUAUAACCCCACUAGGGGCUCCAUGCAUAUACAAUAAGAGACAAUGAAGCUCAAUUUUAUAUAUUUUACUUUAUACUUUGUUUAUUUUAAACUUUUGUUCGGCACGACCAGUUUUCAACUUAGUUCCUCUCUUUUACAGAUGAACGUCAUGCGGCGCACGUCCAGGAUACGGCACAACGGAGAGACAGGCGCAGACGUGCAGUAGGGACCUGUCCUAAAGGAUUCUUUUUAUAUUAAGACCCUGCGUAAACCUUUUUUACUGUCUCUUGUUGCUACACAUCCCCUGGUUUUUUCUGAUAUAACCAAGGAGGAGGCUGGCGUCUUGGCAUGUGGACACGUCAGAAUUUUUGCAUGUACCUGGACACUAGGGUUUUUUUUAAUAAAGAGUGUUGUUUCACCCACAUUCAUAAAGACCGAACACCUUAGGGAGUGUUCGGCGUCGCGAGUUUUGGCAUUAUAUGCAUCAGCUCCGAAUCAUGUCUUUGGUCAAAUGUUGGGUUGCCUGGCUCCUGAGUUCGGCUACCUUAUGUUCCGCUCUAUCGGCUAAGGUAGCACCAGGAGAACUACUGCGAUUGUGCCCCGGUUCGGCCGGGCGAGCACCUCAGUAGAGAAAGCCAAAAACUGACUGUCAUGAUGUAGCAUGAGACUGGUCAGCCACUCAAUGACCUAUCGGAAUCUAUCGGAUUCCUCCGCUUUAACGAAGGGCCGCUUCCCGGUCAGGCACAUACGCGCCCCAAACUCGGAUGAGCGCAGUUGCCACCAAGGAGCUACUUAAAUAGUCUCACUAUCAAGCUCCUAUGGCUAAGUGAAAGUGUUAAAGCAUUAUAGUCCGGUUGCCUGGCCCGCUGCGCUAUCACCUCCUUUGUAGGACCAAGACGUUGGGUUAAGUGUGAAAAUGCGUCUUCUGCGAGCACCCCCGCACUAUGUGCGUGGGGGCUGAAGCCAACGACUGCCAUCUUUCAGAUUUUAUAUUAAAACGGCCGCACAGGAGGUGUUCCCAAUACUUGAAGGCACAAGUAUAAAAAGGCCACUACAGUUUAUCAAAAUAUUACUUUAUAAUUACAUAUGCUAUCAUAACAUAGCAUCUUUCGAGCACUGCAUCUCUAUUACACGAGCGCCUUCAAGGACUUCCUGAAAAUAGUGCUUGGAGGGUACUCGGCUUUUGUCCGAAUCUCGGGACGCAACAACGGUGGCCUCCAUCUCUGCCCAGUAUGUCUUAACACGGGCAAGAGCCAUCCUUGCGCCCUCUAUGCAUGCUGACCUCUUCAUUGCAUUUAUACGCGGCACCGCGUCAAGGAAUUGCUGCACCAAGCUGAAAUAACUCUUUGGCUCCGAUCUCCCCGGCCACAGAUGACCCAUAACGUACUUCAUGGCGAGUCCGGACAACCUAUUCAGUUCGGCCCAUUGAGCCAAACAAUCGUCCACUGCUAGUGGACGCUCUGGAUUGUGAAACAGUGACCAGAAAAGCUUUUCCACUUCGCGAUCUUUCUGAUCUCGAAAGUGUUCGGUCGCAUCAGCAGCACUCGCUGCCAAAUCCAGAUAGGUAUCCUCCACACUCCACAUCCGGUCCAACGGAGCAAACUUCGGAUCGCAAAAUUUCCUUCGCAGCAUAAAGGGCUUUCCAGCCGCAAUUUGUUCGGCCCGACGCAGCUCCUCCUUCACAGCUCUCAUCACAGAGCGCGCGUCCUUGGCAUUGGCAACGGCCUUCUCUAAGUCCGUCUGUUUUGCCUGGUCUUCUUUCUCAAGAAGUCUGCAAUGGUCUGCAGCACUCUUUAACUUUUCGGCCAUCUCGGCCAUCUCUUCCUUGCUUCGGCAAUGAGUAGCCUGUUCGGCUCUCAGCUCUUCAAGGGCUUUCUUGGCAGCCGCAUCACUUUCUUUGGCUUGUUCUUUAGCUCGGGCAAGUUCUGCCCUAAGACUCUCCACGGCGACCGCACCAUCUGCGUUAAGCACACACAUCGUAAGACACAGGCAUAAAACUAUUCCUACCUGAUGCAGCGCGAGGAAUUACAUACCUUGACCCUCAUCAAGCCGCUUGUUGACAAGCGUGAUGCCGGCAUCUGCCACGUCCAGUUGCCGCUUUAGUUCGGCAAAAUCGUCAGUUCGGCUCGAUUCCGGACACCCUUCCGCCUACAUUCAAAGGCGACAUCUUAGACCUGGGAUUAUGAUCCUCCGCGUGCCGUCAUUUCUUGAUGACGCGCAGAGUCUCAGGGGCUAUUAUCUACACAUGGUGCAUCUUAUUCAUGCGCAACGGACAAAAGUAUACAUUAUCUAAUGUACCUCGAAACCCGUCAGUAAACUUUUGACGGCCUCAUGCAAUCCGCUCUCUGCGGAUGAAAUCCUUUCAAUCACCGUGCCCAUCAAUGCGCGGUGCUCCUCUGAGAUAGAAGCUCGCCCCAGCAGAAUCUUUAGCUCCUCCGGCCGAGCACCAGACGAUGCUGGGCUCGUCCCAUGACCUCUUUCGAAGGCCGGACGCGGAGAACCUCGGGGGGGGGGGGGCGCAUAUCUACCUUCCGCCCUUGCCGGAUUCGGAGAAACCCUCCGCGACGACACCUCAGGGUCGCCCGCCUCGCUAGGCGGCACAACAAGGGGAGGCGUCCCGCUCUCCAUCAUCUUCGGAAGAAGAUCCCCCGAAGACGAGCUCUGCUGGGAAGGGCUGAGGUCCGAGCUACAAGGUAAAGGUUCGGUUAAUCUUCUCAGAUAUAAAUUAAGGAUUUCCCUCAUCCCUCAAAAGGAAAAUCUUUCUCUACUUACGGCUCGCUGGAGGGCUGAUCCCCUUGAGGGCGUAGUCCGGCCGAGGAACUCCCCGGCGUCGGACCUUCUAACGAGGAUUUUCUCCCCCGCUUCAAGGCCAUGGUUUCCGGGUCGUCAGAGGCGGCUCUCUUCUUCCCCCUAGGAGAGGAAUUGUCGGUUCCUCCCUUCGGAGCAGCCUCCUUCGAGGAGGCCAUAGCUUCCUUGUCCUCCCCCUCCAAAGGCAUUAUCUCCAGCAUCCUAACCAGCACAGAAUCCGGCCUGGUUUCAGGAAGGGGAGCCGGACACCUGAUCAGCUUUGCCUUCGCUAUCCACUCCUGUUUAAAAGGAUGACUCUUUUAGGGGCAAGUUUAUGACAAUUAUACGGAUAGAAGGUCCGGGCACAAGGUUGCUUACUUGAGUAUCUGGGCGAUUGCAGCUUAGGCCUGCAUCCUCGGUUAAAUCCGAACACAUCUCUUGUGAUCCGAAGAACAGUUUAUACAUCUCCGUGGGCGUUGCGCCCAUAAAAUUCUGGAGAGCUCGUGGUCCCUCUGGAUUAAACUCCCACAGGCGAAGGGAGCGACGUUUGCCGGGCAAUAUUCAGCGAAUCAGCAUGACCUGCGUCACCUUGACCAGGCUGAGGUCUCCUUCCAAAAGAUCCUUAAUGCGGCCCUGUAACAAGGGCACGUCUUUGGGCAAACCCCAAUCUAACCCUCUGUUAACCCAUGACGGUAGCCGUGGUGGGGGACCCGAGCAAAAGGCAGGAAGCGCCACCCACUUGGUGCUCUGGGGAGUGGUGAUAUAAAACCACUCUUGUUGCCACAAGCCUAGCUCCUCUUGAAAAGAGCCCUCGGGCCAUGGAGCAUCAGCAUUUUUUCUUAAUACAGCGCCUCCACACUCUGCGUGCCGUCCCUUGAUCAUCUUCGGCUCCACUUUGAAAGUCUUGAGCCAUAAUCCGAAGUGAGGGGUAACACGGAGGAACGCUUCGCAUACAACUAUAAACGAGGAGAUAUGGAGGAUGGACUCCGGAGCUAAGUCGUGAAAUUCGAGCCCGUAAUAAAACAGCAGUCCCCUCACAAAGGGAUCCAUCGGGAAGCCUAACCCCCGAAGGAAGUGAGACAUGAACACUACGCUCUCACCAGGCUGGGGACUAGGGAUAGCCUGCCUUUGAGCAGGAAACCUGUGUGAAAUUUCGGCGGUCAAGAACUUAGCCUCUCUCAACUUUAGUACGUCCUCCUCCGUGACGGAGGAGGGCAUCCAUCGGCCUUGAAGGUCGGAACCGGACAUUGUCGAAGGUCUGAGGCGCCCGGAAUCUGGAGCCUAGGGUGUUGGAACUCGAGGCGACGGGCGAACUCGUUUUGGGAUUGGAGAAAAGUAGUAAGGCCCUGGUCUCUUUAUAAGAGGUUGAAUACCAGAAGCCCUCCCCGUAACCGUUUGGGACUCGCCUUUAAUCGAGAAAACAUGCUAACAGGCACGAUUGGGUUACCCACGUCCGUAUUGAUGAGAAUCCCAUAAAAGGGGAGUACACAAUCUCUGCUUUGACAAGACGUGCCAAGGAAACUGCCUCGCAAAACACGCUGAGGUGGAAAAGUGAAAAUGAUUCGAGUAAAGGACUUGGCCGUAGUAUGAUGACGCACUACGGAAUACGUCAGCAGAUUUGAUUUGUGUUAAUAUUAUUCUCUCUAUGGCAAUAUGUGGAAGCUUAUUUUGCAGAGCCGGACACUACUCUUGGUGUUUACGAUCUUCUAUGAAGGACUUGGAGGAGGAACCUGCCUUGCAAUGCCGAAGACAAUUUGCGCGCCGGACUCGUCGUCAUUGAAGCCUGGUUCAGGGGCUACUGAGGGAGUCCUGGAUUAGGGGGUGUUCGGGUAGCCGGACUAUACCUUCAGCCGGACUCCAGGACUAUGAAGAUACAAGAUUGAAGACUACGUCCCGUGUCCGGAUGGGACUUUCCUUGGCGUGGAAGGCAAGCUUGGCGAUGCGGAUAUUCAAGAUCUCCUACCAUUGUAACCGACUCUAUGUAACCCUAACCCUAUCCGGUGUCUAUAUAAACCGGAUGGUUGUAGUCCGUAGGACAUCAACACAAUCAACUCCAUAUACAACAAUCAUACCAUAGGCUAGCUUCUAGGGUUUAGCCUCCUUGAUCUCGUGGUAGAUCUACUCUUGUACUACCCAUAUCAUCAAUAUUAAUCAAGCAGGACGUAGGAUUUUACCUCCAUCAAGAGGGCCCGAACCUGGGUAAAACAUCGUGUUCCCUGCCUCCUAUUACCAUCCGACCUAGACGCAUAGUUCGGGACCCACUACCCGAGAUCCGCCGGUUUUGACACCGACAGUCGCCCUAAACGAAAAUUCGGAGUCUGCGAUCUGCAAGAGGAACGACACAGAAGCUUAUCUGAGGACCCUUGCCAAGAAGGUUUAUCUCGUGCUGGGAGGUAUUUCUUUUAAUCCGACUGUGUUGAUGCUUGCCAUCAGAUUUUUCUCGGUUGAUUGAACUGACUUUUGGCUUCAGAACUUUGUCAAGACUUUGAUGAAGAAACUGGAAGGGUCGAGACGGGUCUGGACCCUAUCGCUUCCCCGGUCUGCGACGAAACUGCGAUGAACGUGCUCCGACUAGAGUCCCGUAUCGCCAGCGCCACAAGCUACCUCGCGCGCCUGAAGGAGGUUGUCUCUCGAAUCGACUCGACGCUUUGGCUGGGGGCGACGCUUCAGAAUGGUCUGGAAUCUCUGAUGACUCGACUGAACGAGAUCCUUGGCCGAGUGCAAGAAUGGAAGAAAUCCUCCACCCGGUGUGGUGCUGAUGUGGCGCUGUCCCUGGUGUGAGUCCAUUGCAAGGAGGCUCAUGAAGACAAGCUGGCUGCGAUCAAAGUCGCUAACACCAAAAAGCACGACUUCCGGUCCUUCAUGGAGACUUUCAUUGCUGCCGCUACUCGGAUCACUGAUGGGAUCGAUCUGGACUCAUUCGUGGAGCCUGCCAGCCCUCCUCCGGCCGAGUGAACAAUCUUAUGAAACUUGGAUACACUUUAAAUUUGCCUCGGAAUGCCGAGUGGUUUCUGUAACUGUUAAACUCCUUCGGGCAUGGUGCCUGAGUACCUUUGAUUCGCUGCUUGGAACCUUUUAGUAUUUAUCUGAACUUGGUUUAUCGUUGAAUAUCUUCAUGAAUUCUCCGUCGAGUGGAACUCGUUCUUCACUCGAGAAAACUUUUGUAUUUGUGGCACAGCUCCGAAGGAGAAGGUAGCAGUCGACCUGCACCUCGUCGUCCUUGUGGGUCGGGAUGGAGCGCACGUUGUAUUUGUGGCGAAGCUCCAAAGGAGAAGGUGGCAGUCGACCUGCACCUCAUCGUCCUUGUGGAUUGGGAUGUGUUUCGUACUUAGGCGAGUACUGGACUGCAGCUAAGCCUCCGAGUGGGAGGGUCGCUCUCCACUCGGUAGGAUUUUUCAAACUUAGGCGAGUAUUGGACUGCAGCUAAGCCCCCGAGUGGGAGGGUCGCUCUCCACUCGGUAGGAUUUUCAAACUUAGGCGAGUACUGGACUGCAGCUAAGUCCCCGAGUGGGAGGAUCGCUCUCCACUCAGUAGGAUUUUUCAAACUUCAGCGAGUACUGGACUGCAGCUAAGCCCCCGAGUGGGAGGGUCNNNNNNNNNNNNNNNNNNNNNNNNNNNNNNNNNNNNNNNNNNNNNNNNNNNNNNNNNNNNNNNNNNNNNNNNNNNNNNNNNNNNNNNNNNNNNNNNNNNNNNNNNNNNNNNNNNNNNNNNNNNNNNNNNNNNNNNNNNNNNNNNNNNNNNNNNNNNNNNNNNNNNNNNNNNNNNNNNNNNNNNNNNNNNNNNNNNNNNNNNNNNNNNNNNNNNNNNNNNNNNNNNNNNNNNNNNNNNNNNNNNNNNNUACUGGACUGCAGCUAAGCCGCAGAGUGGGAGGGUCGCUCUCCACUCGGUAGGAUUUUUCAAACUUAGGCGAGUACUGGACUGCAGCUAAGCCCCCGAGUGGGAGGAUCGCUCACCACUUAGUAGGAUUUUCAAAUACUUAGGCGAGUACUGGACUGCAGCUAAGCCCCCGAGUGGGAGGCUGGCUCACCACUCGGUAGGAUUUUCAAAUACUUAGGCGAGUACAGGACUGCAGCUAAGCCCCCGAGUGGGAGGCUGGCUCACCACUCGGUAGGAUUUUCAAACACUUAGGCGAAACAGGUUCACAGCUAAGCCUCCGAGUGAGAGGCUGGCUCACCACUCGGUAGGAAAUUAUUUUUACAAACUUAGGCGAAACGGAUUCGCAGCUAAGCCACCCACUGCGGGAUUUGUCACGCAAACAAAAACAAUAACAAUCACUGGGAAAAUUAUAACGCUCUUGUCUUUGAUAAAUAAACUACAGAAGUUUUUCUUAUUACAUCUCAUCCGAGUGAAAAUUCAAGUAUAAAAGGGGCGGAGCAGCUCCGCAUUCCAGGCUCGUGGCUCAUCAAUCUGGCGAUCGACAUUAUAAAGGUGGUACACUCCAUUGUGGAGGACUCUGGUGACUAUGAAGGGACCUUCCCAAGUAGGAGCGAGUUUGUGUGGUUUCUGUUCAUCCACUCGGAGGACCAAGUCUCCUUCUUGGAAGGCUCGACUCUUCACAUUUCUGGCAUGGAAUCGACGCAACUCUUGCUGAUAGAUGGUCGAUCGGAUCAUGGCCAUUUCUCUUUCUUCUUCCAGGAGGUCGACUGCGUCCUGCCGGGCUUGUUCUGCUUCAUCUUCAGAGUAGAGCUCGACUCGGGGUGCGUUGUGAAGCAGGUCACUCGGCAAAACUGCUUCGGCUCUGUAGACCAGAAAGAAUGGGGUUCUUCUAGUCGAUCGGUUCGAGGUUGUCCUCAAUCCCCAAAGAACUGAUGGAAGCUCGUCAACCCAUGCACCUGCUGCGUGCUUGAGAUCGCGCAUCAGUCGGGGUUUCAGUCAUUUGAGAAUUAAGCCGUUUGCUCUUUCCGCUUGUCCAUUCGACUGGGGGUGAGCGACUGAAGCAUAGUCGACUCAUGUGCCUUGAGAGGCGCAAAAGGCUCUGAAUUUGUCAGAAUCGAAGUUUGACCCAUUGUCAGUGAUGAUGCUGUGCGGAACUCCAUAUCUGAAUAUCAACUCUCUGAUGAAACUGAUAGCAGUGCAAGCAUCAAGAUUCUUGAUAGGCUUAGCUUCAAUCCAUUUGGUGAACUUGUCGACUGCUACUAGCACAUGAGUGAAGCCGCUCCUGCCCGUUCUCAGUGGUCCAACCAUGUCCAGUCCCCAAACAGUGAAGGGCCAGACGAGUGGAAUGGUUUUCAGGGCUGACGCGGGUUUGUGCGACAUAUUGGAGUAAAACUGACAUCCUUCACAUUUGUCGACUAUCUCUUUCGCCAUUUCAUUCGCCCUUGGCCAGUAGAAUCCCGCUCGGUAUGCUUUAGCCACAAUGGUCAAAGAGGAUGCAUGAUGACCACAAGUCCCUGAGUGGAUAUCAUCAAGGAUUAUCUGACCUUCUUCUGGUGUUAUACACUUCUGACUGACUCCAGUCGCGCUUUCUCUAUAUAACUGUCCCUUUAUGACUGUAAAGUCCUUGGAUCGACGGUCGAUCUGUCGAGCCUCUUCUUCGUCCUCUGGGAGUUCUUUCCUUAGGAUGUACGCGAUGUACGGUACCGUCCAGUCGGGAGUGAUGAUCAAAACUUCCAUGACCAGGUUGACCACAGUUGGAACUUCAAAUUCAAUCGGAUCCGUGGCACUUUUUGGCUGCGGGGCUUCUUCAGUGAAAGGAUCCUCCUGAACUGAUGGUGUGUGGAUGUGUUCCAAAAACACAUUGCUGGGAAUGGCUUCUCUUUUGGAACCUAUUUUCGCCAAAUCAUCAGCUGCUUGAUUUUUCAGUCGGGGUAUGUGAUGAAGUUCUAACCCCUCGAAUUUCUUCUCCAGCUUUCUCACUGCAUUGAAAUAACCAGUCAUGGCCGUACUUCUGACGUCCCACUCCUUCAUCACUUGAUUAACCACCAAAUCUGAGUCGCCAUAGACCAUGAGGCGACGGAUGCCGAGUGAAAUGGCCAUGCGCAACCCAUAUAAAAGUGCUUCAUAUUCUGCUUCGUUAUUGGAGGAAUCAAAGUGGAUUUGAAGAACAUAUCUGAGCUUAUCUCCUCGGGGGGAGACCAAUACUACCCCGGCACUGGAAGCAUUCAGCAUUUUGGAACCGUCGAAGAACAUGGUCCAAUGCUCCGAGUGAACCUGAGUCGGCAGUUGUUGUUCAAUCCACUCGGCGACGAAAUCUGCUAUUGCUUGGGACUUGAUAUCUUUCUUUGCCUCAAACUUGAUAUCUAGAGGAAGGAGUUCAAUCGCCCAUUUUGCCACUCGACCAGUUGCAUCUCUGUUGUGCAGGAUCUCUGACAAUGGAGCAUCGCUGACGACUGUAAUGGAAUGAUCAGAGAAGUAGUGAGCAACCUUCUUUGUGGUCAUAUAAAUCCCAUAUACAAGCUUCUGAUAAUGAGUAUAUCUUUGCUUCGACGGGGUCAAAACUUCAGAAAUAUAAUAUACUAGGCGCUGAACUUUGAAGGCUUUUCCUUCUUCUUCCCGCUCGACCGUAAGUACCGUACUAACGACUUGUCCCGUGGCUGCGAUGUAAAGCAGCAAAGGCUCUUUGCUAAUUGGGGCAGCAAGCACCGGCUGGGUGGAGAGCAGAGCUUUGAGCUCUGCAAAUGCUGCAUCAGCUUCAGGAGUCCACUCGAACUUGUCUGACUUCUUCAUCAAUCGGUAAAGAGGCAAUGCCUUUUCACCGAGACGAGAGAUGAAUCGACUUAAAGCGGCCAAGCAACCAGUAAGCUUCUGGACGUCAUGCACUCGCACAGGAUGUUUCAUUCGGAGUAUAGUACCGACUUUUUCUGGAUUGGCGUCGAUUCCCCAUUCGGAAAUGAGAAAACCGAGUAACUUUCCGCUAGGAACUCCGAAUGUGCACUUUGAUGGAUUAAGCUUGAUAUCAUACCUCCUGAGGUUGGCAAAGGUUUCAGCAAGGUCAGUCAGCAGGUCGGAACCGUUCCGUGACUUGACCACAAUAUCAUCCAUGUAUGCUUCCACAUUCCGACUGAUUUGAGUGAGCAAACACUUCUGAAUCAUCCUCAUGAAUGUGGCUCCGGCAUUCUUGAGGCCGAAUGGCAUGGUAACAUAACAGAAGCACCCGAAUGGAGUGAUGAAAGCUGUUUUGAUCUCGUCAGGUCCAUACAGACGGAUCUGAUGGUACCCGGAAUAGGCGUCUAAUAAAGACAGUCGCUCACAUCCCGCAGUCGAGUCGACUAUCUGGUCGAUGUGGGGGAGAGGAAAAUGAUCUUUCGGGCAGGCCCGAUUGAUAUGUUUAAAGUCAAUGCACAUGCGAAGUGACUUGUCCUUCUUGGGGACCAUGACUACGUUGGCGAGCCACUCGGAGUGGUAAAUCUCUUGGAUGAACUCCGCUGCUAAGAGCCGAGCCACCUCCUCACCAAUACCCUUUCUCUUCUUGACGGCAGACCGUCGGAGAUGUUCUUUGACAGGUUUCACUUUUGAGUUGACUCGUAGGCGGUGCUCAGCCAGCCCCUGGGAACACCUGGCAUGUCAGAAGGCUUCCAUGCGAAGAUGUCCCAAUUCUCACGGAGGAACUAGAUGAGCGCUUCUUCCUAUUUGGAGUCGAGUGUUGUUGAGAUAUGAGUCGGAGCAGCACUGUGAUCGGUCGGGUGAAUGUGAACCGACUUCGUUUCACCAGACGACUGAAAAGCUGAUUCUGUAGCGGGCUUCUUGGCUCGCAACAAAUCACUCGGGUCUGCAGUCUUCUGGUACUCCUGCAGCUCCACCACUGCCAUCUGAGCAUCAGCGAUCUUUGAGCCUUUCUAAAAACACUCUUCUGCUUUCUUCCGAUUGCCCGUAACAGUGGUCACACCUUUGGGGCCAGGCAUCUUCAAUUUGAGAUACACAUAACAUGGUCGAGCCAUGAAGCGUGCAUAAGCUAGCCUGCCCAAAAUAACGUUAUAAGCACUCUGGAAAUCCACAACUUCGAACGUCAACUUUUCUUUGCGGUAAUUCUUGGAAUCACCGAAAACCACAUCAAGAGCAAUUUGGCCGAGUGACUCAGCCUUCUUCCCAGGAAUGACUCCAUGGAAACUCAUGUUGCUGGUACUGAGUUUGGACAUCGGAAUGCCCAUCCCUUUCAAUGUCUCAGCAUACAGUAUGUUCAAACCACUGCCACCAUCCAUCAAGACUUUGGUCAGUCGAGUGCCUUCAACAACUGGGUCGACCACCAAAGCUUGCCUCCCAAGGGUGGCAAUGUGUGUUGGGUGAUCGGACUGGUCGAAUGUGAUGGCAGUCUGAGACCACUUCAGAUAACUGGGUGUCUCCGGAGCAACCAUAUUCACCUCACGGUUGAUAACUUUCAGUCGACUUUUGCUUUCAACAUCAGCAAAAAUCAUCAAGGUGGAAUUGACCUGGGGGUAUCCAUCAUCACUGUCUUCCUUGUCCUCAACUUUGUCUGACUCCUUUUCCUUAUCUUUGGGCUGUUUGCCCUGGAACUGCUGGAUCAAGAGCCGACACUGUCGAGUGGUAUGUUUCGGGUAAAUGAGCUUACCCUCUUCAUCUUUCUUGGUGUGGAUGUGGCAUGGAAAAUCCAACACAUCAUUUCCGUCUUGGUCUUUAACUUUCUUGGGGUUCCAAGGCCCUUUGGGUUUCCCCUUAAUCUUUCCUUGAAUUACAGCCAAGGCUUCCCCAGGAGCAGCUGGCUCGGCUUUCUGCUUCUGUUUCCGAUUGGAAUUUCCUCCCCCGAUUUCUUGGGCGACUGACUUGUGCUUGCCACUCCGGAGUCGAUCCUCAUCUUCACCAUUAGCGUACUUGGUGGCGAUCUCCAUCAUCCGAUUCAGAGACAUGUCUCCGAUUCGACCGAAUUUCAGAUUCAGUUCUCUGUACUUGACGCCUUCUUUGAAGGCACAAACUGCUUGGUGAUCAGGCACAUUCUCUAUCGUGUUAUGUAACGUGAUCCAUCUCUGGAUGUAAUCCCUCAAAGUUUCAUUCGACUUCUACACGCAAGACCACAGUUCCAUCAGCCCUGCCGGUCGCUUGCAUGUUCCUUCGAAUGUGGUGACAAACACUCGGGCGAGAUCUUCCCAAGUGUAAAUGCUGCUGGGUGCUAACUGAUUCAGCCAUGCUCUGGCCGAGCCCUCUAACAUGAGAGGCAGGUGCUUCAUGGCCACUUCAUUAUUGCCGUCGCCAAUCUGGACAGCUACUCGGUAGUCUUCAAGCCAAGUAUCGGGCUUGGACUCACCGGUGAACUUACUGACUCCAGUCGCCAACCUGAAGUUGGGAGGGAUCAUAGCGGCCCUGAUGGCUCUACUAAAGCACUCUGGCCCCGAAACAUGUACUCUGCUGCUGGUAGGUGCGUCUCUGUCAUGACCUUCUCGGUGAGCUCUAUUCCUGUCAACCAAACCUUGAACGAGAAUGGAUCUCGCAUCAAAGCCUGGUUCCCUAGGGUCGACUGGAAUCCUUCGCCCAACACUAUGAGGGCGUCUGUCAUCCUGCUAUCGAGGCACAUACGAUACACUCCUCAGGGGAGGGGUAGGCACUCGACGUCGAUCGUCACGAUCGAAUCGGUGAUCAUACUGCUCAUGGUUCCCGUACUGAUCAUGCCAGUCCCCACGUCCCUCACGCCUCGGGGGCGAUCUUGGGCUAUGAGCCGACUGGGCUAUGUUUGCAACAAUGGAUCUGCUAUGAAUCCUGUUCCGCGACUAAGAAACAGCGGAAUUCUGGUCUCCUGCUACUCGGAGUAACACUCUGAUCUGCAGCAAGCCUCUGCCAGCCUCUGACUGGGAAGGAUGAAUCGACUCUGCUAUACGGGCUGCAGCUGCUAAAUUCUGAAUCGGAGUUCGAUAUACCUGCAGGGGCGGAAAGAGCCGACAUCGACUGGAUUCUGGAACCCGUUGUCGUGCAUGCUCGUCGAGUGCUCGCUGGAGGUUCUCCAGUCGAGUGCACUCAGCCAAGUUUGCCAGGCACGCGUCCUCCAAGGCACGAGCCUCGGGGGUUUCUCCAACGAUAGGAGUGUGCAGUGCAUCCAUGUUCCGGCGACGAAGUUCUUCUCUCUGCAGCGAUGUGAGAGGCUCGGGGAGAUAUUCCUCAUGGGGAUGCGACGGGUCGCCUCCACCUGCGCCUCCGUCGAUGCGGGGAAAACCAGGAGGACUGCGCGGUCCAUCGACCAUCAGAACCUCCGCCGCCGGAUCACUGCUGUCACACUCGGAUGCGGUCUCUGCGGAGCCGGUCGACAGGUCGAAUAGGCCGUAGAGGGAUUCAUCGGGCUCGAUCGCCGCGACUUGAGGGGUGGCCGACUGGCGUGCCACCGCGUGUCUCACCCACCGCUGAAGUCUCGACCGACCGGAGCGCUUGCGCCGGCGGGAAACAGGAAGGGAGGACAACACAGGGGCCGACCGAUAAUGGGUCGACGGUUGCCGCAAGAGGACACCGCGGACGCACGCGUGAAAGUGCGUUGCCCCGCGGACAGGGAGUGCGUCCACGUCGAGCGGAGCCUCCUGAAGCCAAGCGGAGUCGUCGGCGAUGAACGUGAGCGCGCCGAGACGGAUCUCGCGGCCCUCCACCAAAACUCCACCAGAAACCAUGAUGAUUUGGAUCGGAAAAGAUCACAACUCCUCCAACAAAUCGCUAAGACACCCGGCCCCAUGGUGGGCGCCAACUGUCGUGGUUCUAAGUCUGACAGUAAUGUAGGGGGGUAGGUAUGGAGAGGCAAGAUCUUAGCUAUUGAGUAGUUGUAAGCACACGAGGUUUAUGAGUUCAGGCCCUUCUCGGAGGAAGUAAUAGCCUUAUGUCUCGGAGCCCGGAGGCGGUCGACUGGAUUAUGUGUGUAUGAAUCACAGGGGUGCGAACCUUUUACACUGAGGAGGGGGUGGCUUAUAUAGAGUUCGCCAGACCCCUCCGGCCCUCAGUUAUGCAGGGUUUUAAGUACAUUAAGGUCGGGCGUUACUGGUAACGCCCCUAAUAAAGUGCUAUGAUGACCAUAAAAGCUACUUAAUGACCGACCAUUAGUGUGCGGAGUGACUUUAGGUCUCCUGGUCGUCGAGUGGUUGGAUCUUGAUCAAGUGAUUGCUUCUUGGUCGAGUGUCUUCGAGUCUGUUGAGUGGAACACCUCCAAGUCGAUUGAAGGGUGAUUUCUUCUAGAGAUGUCCUUGGGCAGGGCAGUUAAGACAGGUCCAUGACCCUUGUUGGGGAACGUAGUAAUUUCAAAAAAAAUCCUACGCACACGCAAGAUCACGAUGAUGCAUAGCAACGAGAGGGGAGAGUGUGAUCUACGUACCCUUGUAGACCGACAGUGGAAGCGUUAGCACAAUGUGGUUGAUGUAGUCGUACGUCUUCACGGCCCGACCGAUCAAGCACCGAAACUACGGCACCUCCGAGUUUUAGCACACGUUCAGCUGGAUGAUGAUCCCCGGACUCCGAUCUAGCAAAGUGUCGGGGAAGAGUUCCGUCAGCACGACGGCGUGAUGACGAUCUUGAUGUACUAUCGUCGCAGGGCUUCGCUUAAGCACCGCUACAAUAUUAUCAAGGAUUAUGGUGGAAGGGGGCACCGCACACGGCUAAGAAUAUGAUCACGUGGAUCAACUUGUGUGUGUAGGGGUGCCCCCUGCCCCCAUAUAUAAAGGAGCAAGGGGAGGAGGCCGGCCGGCCCCUAUUGGCGCGCCAGGAGGAGUCCUCCUCCUAGUAGGAGUAGGACUCCUACUAGGAGGGGGAAGGAAGUGGGGAGGGAGAAGGAAAGGGGGGCGUCGCCCCCCCUCUCCUAGUCCAAUUCGGACCAGGGGGGAGGAGGCGCGCGGCCCACCCUGGCUGCCCCUCUCUCUCUCCACUAAGGCCCAUAUGGCCCAUUACUUCUCCCGGUAGGGUUCCGGUAACCCUCCGGCUCUCCGGUUUUCUCCGAAAUCACCCAGAACACUUCCGGUGUCUGAAUAUAGCCGUCCAAUAUAUCAAUAUUUAUGUCUCGACCAUUUCUAGACUCCUCGUUAUGUCCGUGAUCACAUCUGGGACUCCGAACUAACUUCGUUACAUCAAAACUCAUAAACUCAUAAUAUAACUGUCAUCGAAACCUUAAGCGUGCGGACCCUACGGGUUCGAGAACAAUGUAGACAUGACCAAGACACGUCUCCGGUCAAUAACCAAUAGCGGAACCUGGAUGCUCAUAUUGGCUCCUACAUAUUCUACGAAGAUCUUUAUCGGUCAGACCUUAUAACAACAUACGUUGUUCCCUUUGUCAUCGGUAUUUUACUUGCCCGAGAUUCGAUCGUCGGUAUCUCAAUACCUAGUUCAAUCUCGUUACCGGCAAGUCUCUUUACUCAUUUCGUAAUACAUCAUCUCGCAACUAACUCAUUAGUUGCAAUGCUUGCAAGGCUUAUGUGAUGUGCAUUACCGAGAGGGCCCAGAGAUACCUCUCCGACAAUCGCAGUGAAAAAUCCUAAUCUCGAAAUACGCCAACCCAACAUGUACCUUUGGAGACACCUGUAGAGCUCCUUUAUAAUCACACAGUUACGUUGUGACGUUUGGUAGCACACAAAGUGUUCCUCCGGUAAACGGGAGUUGCAUAAUCUCAUAGUCAUAGGAACAUGUAUAAGUCAUGAAGAAAGCAAUAGCAACAUACUAAACGAUCGGCUGCUAAGCUAAUGGAAUGGGUCAUGUCAAUCACAUCAUUCUCCUAAUGAUGUGAUCCCGUUAAUCAAAUGACAACACAUGUCUAUGGUUAGGAAACAUAACCAUCUUUGAUUAAUGAGCUAGUCAAGUAGAGGCAUACUAGUGACGUUUGGUUCGUCUAUGUAUUCACACAAGUAUUAUGUUUCCGGAUAAUACAAUUCUAGCAUGAAUAAUAAACAUUUAUCAUGAUAUAAGGAAAUAAAAUAAUAACAUUAUUAUUGCCUCAAGGGCAUAUUUCCUUCAGUCUCCCACUUGCACUAGAGUCAAUAAUCUAGAUUACACAGUAAUGAUUCUAACACCCAUGGAGCUUUUGUGUUGAUCAUGUUUUGCUCGUGGAAGAGGCUUAGUCAAUGGGUCUGCUACAUUCAGAUCCGUAUGUAUCUUGCAAAUCUCUAUGUCUCCCACCUGGACUAGAUCCCGGAUGGAAUUGAAGCGUCUCUUGAUGUGCUUGGUUCUCUUGUGAAAUCUGGAUUCCUUUGCCAAGGCAAUUGCACCAGUAUUGUCACAAAAGAUUUUCAUUGGACCCGAUGCACUAGGUAUGACACCUAGAUCGGAUAUGAACUCCUUCAUCCAGACUCCUUCGUUUGCUGCUUCCGAAGCAGCUAUGUACUCCGCUUCACAUGUAGAUCCCGCCACAACGCUUUGUUUAGAACUGCACCAACUGACAGCUCCACCGUUUAAUGUAAACACGUAUCCGGUUUGCGAUUUAGAAUCGUUCGGAUCAAUGUCAAAGCUUGCAUCAACGUAACCAUUUAAGAUGAGCUCUUUGUCACCUCCAUAUAUGAGAAAUAUAUCCUUAGUCCUUUUCAGGUAUUUCAAGAUGUUCUUGACCGUUGUCCAGUGAUCUACUCCCGGAUUACUUUGGUACCUACCUGCUAGACUUAUAGCAAGACACACAUCAGGUCUGGUACACAGCAUUGCAUACAUGAUAGAGCCUAUGGCUGAAGCAUAGGGAACAUCUUUCAUUUUCUCUCUAUCUUCUGCAUUGGUCGGGCAUUGAGUCUUACUCAAUUUCACACCUUGUAACACAGGCAAGAAUCCUUUCUUUGCUUGAUCCAUUUUGAACUUUUUCAAAACUUUGUCAAGGUAUGUGCUUUGUGAAAGUCCAAUUAAGCGUCUUGAUCUGUCUCUAUAGAUCUUAAUGCCCAAUAUGUAAGCAGCUUCACCGAGGUCUUUCAUUGAAAAACUCUUAUUCAAGUAUCCCUUUAUGCUAUCCAGAAAUUUUAUAUCAUUUCCGAUUAGUAAUAUGUCAUCUACAUAUAAUAUCAGAAAUGCUACAGAGCUCCCACUCACUUUCUUGUAAAUACAUGCUUCUCCAAAAGUCUGUACAAAACCAAAUGCUUUGAUCACACUAUCAAAGCAUUUAUUCCAACUCCGAGAGGCUUGCACCAGUCCAUAAAUGGAUCGCUGGAGCUUGCACACUUUGUUAGCUCCCUUUGGAUCGACAAAACCUUCCGGUUGCAUCAUAUACAACUCUUCUUGCAGAAAUCCAUUCAGGAAUGCAGUUUUGACGUCCAUCUGCCAAAUUUCAUAAUCAUAAAAUGCGGCAAUUGCUAACAUGAUUCGGACAGACUUAAGCAUCGCUACGGGUGAGAUGGUCUCAUCGUAGUCAAUCCCUUGAACUUGUCGAAAACCUUUUGCGACAAGUCAAGCUUUGUAGACAGUAACAUUAUCGUCAGCGUCAGUCUUCUUCUUAAAGAUCCAUUUAUUCUCAAUUGCUUGCCGAUCAUUGGGCAAGUCAACCAAAGUCCAUACUUUGUUCUCAUACAUGGAUCCCAUCUCAGAUUUCAUGGCUUCAAGCCAUUUUGCGGAAUCUGGGCUCACCAUCGCUUCUCCAUAGUUUGUAGGUUCAUCAUGAUCUAGUAGCAUGACUUCCAGAACAGGAUUACCGUACCACUCUGGUGCGGAUCUUACUCUGGUUGAUCUACGAGGUUCAGUAGUAUCUUGUUCUGAAGCUUCAUGAUCAUCAUCAUUAGCUUCCUCACUAAUUGGUGUAGGUGUCACAGAAACUGGUUUCUGUGAUGUACUACUUUUCAAUAAGGGAGUAGGUACAGUUACCUCAUCAAGUUCUACUUUCCUCCCACUCACUUCUUUCGAGAGAAACUCCUUCUCUAGAAAGUUUCCGAAUUUAGCAACAAAAGUUUUGCCUUCGGAUCUGUGAUAGAAGGUGUAUCCAAUAGUUUCCUUUAGAUAUCCUAUGAAGACACAUUUCUCCGAUUUGGGUUCGAGCUUAUCAGGUUGAAGCCUUUUCACAUAAGCAUCGCAACCCCAAACUUUCAGAAACGACAACUUUGGUUUCUUGCCAAACCAUAGUUCAUAAGGUGUCGUCUCAACGGAUUUUGAUGGUGCCCUAUUUAACGUGAAUGCGGCCGUCCCUAGAGCAUAACCCCAAAACGAUAGCGGUAAAUCAGUAAGAGACAUCAUAGAUCGCACCAUAUCUAGUAAAGUACGAUUACGACGUUCAGACACACCAUUACGCUGUGGUGUUCCGGGUGGCGUGAGUUGCGAAACUAUUCCGCAUUGUUUCAAAUGUACACCAAACUCGUAACUCAAAUAUUCUCCUCCACGAUCAGAUCGCAGGAAUUUUAUUUUCUUGUUACGAUGAAUUUCAACUUCACUCUAAAAUUCUUUAAACUUUUCAAAUGUUUCAGACUUAUGUUUCAUUAAGUAGAUAUACCCAUAUCUGCUUAAGUCAUCUGUGAAGGUGAGAAAAUAACGAUAUCCGCCACGAGCCUCAACAUUCAUCGGACCAUAUACAUCUGCAUGUAUGAUUUCCAACAAAUCUGUUGCUCUCUCCAUAGUACCGGAGAACGUUGUUUUUGUCAUCUUACCCAUAAGGCAUGGUUCGCAAGUACCAAGUGAUUCAUAAUCAAGUGGUUCCAAAAGCGCACCAGCAUGGAGUUUCUUCAUGCGCUUUACACCGAUAUGACCCAAACAGCAGUGCCACAAAUAAGUUGCACUAUCAUUAUCAACUCUGCAUCUUUUGGCUUCAACAUUAUGAAUAUGUGUGUCACUACUAUCGAGAUUUAAUAAGAAUAGACCACUCUUUAAGGGUGCAUGACCAUAAAAGAUAUUACUCAUAUAAAUAGAACAACCAUUAUUCUCUGAUUUAAAUGAAUAACCGUCUCGCAUCAAACAAGAUCCAGAUAUAAUGUUCAUGCUUAAUGCUAGCACCAAAUAACAAUUAUUUAGGUCUAAUACUAAUCCCGAAGGUAGAUGUAGAGGUAGCGUGCCGACCGCGAUCACAUCGACUUUGGAACUAUUUCCCACGCGCAUCGUCACCUCGUCCUUAGCCAAUCUUCGCUUAAUCCGUAGUCCCUGUUUCGAGUUGCAAAUGUUAGCAACAGAACCAGUAUCAAAUACCCAGGUGCUACUGCGAGCAUUAUUAAGGUACACAUCAAUAACAUGUAUAUCACAUAUACCUUGUUCACCUUGCCAUCCUUCUUAUCCGCCAAAUACUUGGGGCAGUUCCGCUUCUAGUGACCAGUCUGCUUGCAGUAGAAGCACUCAGUUUCAGGCUUAGGUCCAGGUUUGGGUUUCUUCUCUUGAGUAGCAACUUGCUUGCUGUUCUUUUUGAAGUUCCCCUUCUUCUUCCCUUUGCCCUUUUUCUUGAAACUAGUGGUCUUAUUGACCAUCAACACUUGAUGCUCCUUCUUGAUUUCUACCUCCGCAUCUUUUAGCAUUGCGAAGAGCUCGGGAAUAGUCUUAUUCAUCCCUUGCAUAUGAUAGUUCAUCACGAAGCUCUUGUAGCUUGGUGGCAGUGAUUGGAGAAUUCUGUCAAUGGAACAAUCAUCUGGAAGAUUAACUCCCAAUUGAAUCAAGUGAUUAUUAUACCCAGACAUUUUGAGUAUAUGCUCACUGACAGAACUGUUCUCCUCCAUCUUGCAGCUAUAGAACUUAUUGGAGACUUCAUAUCUCUCAAUCCGGGCAUUUGCUUGAAAUAUUAACUUCAACUCCUGGAACAUCUCAUAUGCUCCAUGACGUUCAAAACAUUGUUGAAGUCCCAAUUCUAAGCCGUAAAGCAUGGCACACUGAACUAUCGAGUAGUCAUUAGCUUUGCUCUGCAAGACGUUCAUAACAUCUGGUGUUGCUCCAGCAGCAGGCCUGGCACCCAGUGGUGCUUCCAGGACGUAAUUCUUUUGUGCAGCAAUGAGGAUAAUCCUCAAGUUACGGACCCAGUCCGUGUAAUUGCUACCAUCAUCUUUCAACUUUGCUUUCUCAAGGAACGCAUUAAAAUUCAACGGAACAACAACACGGGCCAUCUAUCUACAAUCAAACAUAAACAAGCAAGAUACUAUCAGGUACUAAGUUCAUGAUAAAUUUAGGUUCAAUUUGUUGGAAAUAUGCCCUAGAGGCAAUAAUAAAAGCAUUAUUAUUAUAUUUCCUUGUUCAUGAUAAUUGUCUUUUAUUCAUGCUAUAAUUGUGUUAUCCGGAAAUCGUAAUACAUGUGUGAAUAAUAGACACCAACAUGUCCCUAGUAAGCCUCUAGUUGACUAGCUCAUUGAUCAAUAGAUAGUCAUGGUUUCCUGACUAUGGGCAUUGGAUGUCAUUGAUAACGAGAUCACAUCAUUAGGAGAAUGAUGUGAUGGACAAGACCCAAUCCUAAGCUUAGCUCAAAGAUCGUGUAGUUCAUUUGCUGUAGCUUUUCUGAAUGUCAAGUAUCUUUUCCUUAGACCAUGAGAUCGUGUAACUCCCGGAUACUGUCGGAGUGCUUUGGGUGUACCAAACGUCACAAUGUAACUGGGUGACUAUAAAGGUAUACUACGGGUAUCUCCGAAAGUGUCUGUUGGGUUGACAUGGAUCAAGACUGGGAUUUGUCACUUAGUAUGACGGAGAGGUAUCUCUGGGCCCACUCGGUAAUGCAUCAUCACAAUGAGCUCAAAGUGACCAAGUGUCUGGUCACGGGAUCAUGCAUUACGGUACGAGUAAAGUGACUUGCCGGUAACGAGAUCGAACGAGGUAUUGGGAUAACGACGAUCGAAUCUCGGGCAAGUAACGUACCGAUUGACAAAGGGAAUUGUAUACGGGGUUGCUUGAAUCCUCGACAUCGUGGUUCAUCCGAUGAGAUCAUCGAGGAGCAUGUGGGAGCCAACAUGGGUAUCCAGAUCCCGCUGUUGGUUAUUGAUAUGAAUAUACAGUAACCCGAAAGUUGUUCAGUCCCAGAUGAGAUCCCGGACGUCACGAGGAGUUCCGGAAUGGUCCGGAGGUAAAGAAUUAUAUAUAGGAAGUGCUAUUUCGGCCAUCGGGACAAAUUUCAGGGUCACCGGUAUUGUACCGGGUCCACCGGAAGGGUCCCGGGGGUCCACCGGGUGGGGCCACCCAUCCCGGAGGGCCCCAUGGGCUGAAGUGGGAGGGGGAACCAGCCCUUAGUGGGAUGGUGCGCCUCCCUUGGCCCAACCCCUUGCGCCUAGGGUUGAAACCCUAGGGUGGGGGGGGGCGCCCACUUGCCUUGGAGGGCACUCCAACCCCCCUGACCGCCGCCCCCUUGGGAGAUGGAUCUCCAGGGCCGGCGCCCCCCUGGGGGCCUAUAUAAAGGGAGGGGAGGGAGGGGCAGCCGCACCCUUGAGUCUUGGCGCCCUCCCUCUCCCAUGCUACACCUCUCCUCCUCCGUAGAGCUCGGCGAAGCCCUGCCAGAGUGCUGCUUCUCCAUCAUCACCACGCCGUCGUGCUGCUGCUGAAGCGAUCUUCCUCAACCUCUCCUUCCCCUUGCUGGAUCAAUAAGGAGGAGACGUUACGCUGACCGUACGUGUGUUGAACGCGGAGGUGCCGUCCGUUCGGCGCUAGGAUCUUCGAGAUUUGGAUCACGUCGAGUACGACUACCUCAUCCCUGUUCUUUGAACGCUUCCGCUCACGAUCUACAAGGUACGUAGAUGCAUCCAACCACUUGUUGCUAGAUGAACUCAUAGAUGGAUCUUGGUGAAACCGUAGGAAUUUUUUUUGUUUUUUGCAACGUUCCCCAACAGUGGCAUCAUGAGCUAGGUCUAUGCGUAGUUCUCUAUGCACGAGUAGAACACAAUUUGUUGUGGGCGUUGAUGUUGUCAACUUUCUUGCCGCUACUAGUCUUAUCUUGCUUCAACGGUAUUAUGGGAUGAAGCGUCCCGGACCAACCUUACACGUACGCUUACGUGAGACCGGUUCCACCGACUAACAUGCACUAGUUGCAUAAGGUGGCUGGCGGGUGUCUGUCUCUCCCACUUUAGUUGGAGCGGAUUCGAUGAAAAGGGUCCUUAUGAAGGGUAAAUAGAAGUUGACAAAUCACGUUGUGGCUUUCACGUAGGUAAGAAAACGUUCUUGCUAGAACCCUAUUGCAGCCACGUAAAACUUGCAACAACAAUUAGAGGACGUCUAACUUGUUUUUGUAGCAAGUGUUUUGUGAUGUGAUAUGGCCAAAGUUGUGAUGAAUGAUGAAUGAUAUAUAUGUGAUGUAUGAGAUGGUCAUGCUAUUGUAAUAGGAAUCACGACUUGCAUGUCGAUGAGUAUGACAACCGGCAGGAGCCAUAGGAGUUGUCUUUAUUUUUUGUAUGACCUGCGUGUCAUUGAGAAACGCCAUGUAAAUUACUUUACUUUAUUGCUAAACGCGUUAGCCGUAGUAGUAGAAGUAAUAGUUGGCGAGCAACUUCAUGGAGGCACGAUGAUGGAGAUCAUGAUGAUGGAUAUCAUGGUGUCAUGCCGGUGAUAAGAUGAUCAUGGAGCCCCAAGAUGGAGAUCAAAGGAGCUAUGUGAUAUUGGCCAUAUCAUGUCACUUUUAUUAUUUGAUUGCAUGUGAUGUUUAUCAUGUUUUUGCAUCUUGUUUACUUAGAACGACGGUAGUAAAUAAGAUGAUCCCUCGUAAUAAUUUCAAGAAAGUGUUCCCCCUAACUAUGCACCGUUGCGACAGUUCGUUGUUUCGAAGCACCACGUGAUGAUCGGGUGUGAUAGAUUCUAACGUUCACAUACAACGGGUGUAAGACAGAUUUACACAUGCAAACACUUAGGUUGACUUGACGAGCCUAGCAUGUACAUACAUGGCCUCGGAACACAGAAGACUGAAAGGUCGAGCAUGAGUCGUAUAGAAGAUACGAUCAACAUGAAGAUGUUCACCGAUGUUGACUAGUCCAUCUCACGUGAUGAUCGGACACGGCCUAGUUAACUCGGAUCAUGUUAUACUUAGAUGACUGGAGGGAUGUCUAUCUAAGUGGGAGUUCAUUGAAUAAUUUGAUUAGAUGAACUUAAUUAUCAUGAACUUAGUCUAAAUAUUUACAAUAUGUCUUGUAGAUCAAAUGGCCAACGUAGUCCUCAACUUCAAUGCGUUCCUAGAGAAAACAAAGCUGAAAGACGAUGGCAGCAACUACACGGACUGGGUCCGGAACCUGAGGAUCAUCCUCAUAGCUGCCAAGAAAGAUUAUGUCCUACAAGCACCGCUGGGUGACGCACCUGUUCUCCCUGCAGAACAAGACGUAAUGAACGCUUGGCAGGCACGUACCGAUGACUACUCCCUCGUUCAGUGCGGCAUGCUUUACAGCUUAGAGCCGGAGCUCCAAAAACGUUUUGAGACACGGAGCAUAUGAGAUGUUCGAAGAGCUGAAAAUGGUUUUCCAAGCUCAUGCCCGGGUCGAGAGAUAUCAAGUCUCUGACAAGUUCUUCAGCUGUAAGAUGGAGGAAAACAGUUCUGUCAGUGAGCACAUACUCACUAUGUCUGGGUUGCAUAACCGCUUUACUCAGCUGGGAGUUAAUCUCCCGGAUGACGCGGUCAUUGACAGAAUCCUUCAAUCGCUUCCACCGAGCUACAAGAGCUUUGUGAUGAACUUCAAUAUGCAGGGGAUGGAAAAGACCAUUGCUGAAGUAUUUGCUAUGCUGAAAUCGGCAGAGGUAGAAGUCAAAAAGGAACAUCAAGUGUUGAUGGUGAAUAAAACCACUAAGUUCAAAAAGGGCAAGGGUAAGAAGAACUUCAAGAAGGACGGCAAGGGAGUUGCCGCGCCCGGCAAGCAAGCUGCCGGGAAGAAGCCAAAGAAUGGACCCAAGCCCGAGACUGAGUCUUUUUAUUGCAAGGAAAGUGGUCACUGGAAGCGGAACUGCCCCAAAUACUUAGCGGACAAGAAGGCCGCAUCACAAAAGGUAUAUGUGAUAUACAUGUAAUUGAUGUGUACCUUACCAGUACUCGUAGUAGCUCUUGGGUAUUUGAUACCGGUGCAGUUGCUCACAUUUGUAACUCAAAGCAGGAGCUUCGGAAUAAGCGGAGACUAACGAAGGACGAGGUGACGAUGCGCGUCGGGAAUGGUUCCAAGGUCGAUGUGAUCGCCGUCGGCACGCUACCUCUACAUUUACCUACGAGAUUAAUUUUAAACCUGAAUAAUUGUUAUUUAGUGCCAGCUUUGAGCAUGAACAUUGUAUCAGGAUCUCGUUUAAUUUGAGAUGGCUACUCAUUUAAAUCCGAGAAUAAUGGUUGUUCUAUUUAUGUGAGAGAUAUGUUUUAUAGUCAUGCUCCGAUGGUGAAUGGUUUAUUCUUAAUGAAUCUCGAGCGUAAUGCUACACAUAUUCAUAGUGUGAGUAGCAAAAGAUGUAAGGUUGAUAAUGAUAGUCCCACAUACUUGUGGCACUGCCGCCUUGGUCACAUAGGUGUCAAACGCAUGAAGAAGCUCCAUGCAAAUGGACUUUUAGAGUCUCUUGAUUACGAAUCAUUUGACACAUGCGAACCAUGCCUCAUGGGUAAGAUGACCAAGACUCCGUUCUCAGGAACAAUGGAGCGAGCAACCAACUUAUUGGAAAUCAUACAUACUGAUGUGUGCGGUCCAAUGAGUGUUGAGGCUCGCGGUGGCUAUCGUUAUGUUCUCACCCUCACUGAUGACUUGAGUAGAUAUGGGUAUAUCUAUUUGAUGAAACACAAGUCUGAGACCUUUGAAAAGUUCAAGGAAUUUCAGAGUGAGGUUGAAAAUCAACGUGAUAGGAAAAUCAAGUUCCUACGAUCAGAUCGUGGGGGAGAAUACUUGAGUCACGAAUUUGGCAUACACUUAAGAAAAUGUGGAAUAGUUUCACAACUCACGCCGCCUGGAACACCUCAGCGUAAUGGUGUGUCCGAACGUCGUAAUCGCACUCUAUUAGAUAUGGUGCGAUCUAUGAUGUCUCUUACCGAUUUACCGCUAUCUUUUUGGGGCUAUGCUUUAGAGACUACCGCAUUCACUUUAAAUAGGGCUCCGUCGAAAUCCAUUGAGACGACACCGUAUGAAUUAUGGUUUGGGAAGAAACCUAAGUUGUCGUUUCUAAAAGUUUGGGGAUGCGAUGCUUAUGUCAAGAAACUUCAACCUGAAAAGCUCGAACCCAAGUCGGAAAAAUGCGUCUUCAUAGGAUACCCUAAAGAAACUAUUGGGUAUACCUUCUACCUCGGAUCCGAAGGCAAGAUCUUUGUUGCCAAGAAUGGAUCCUUUCUAGAGAAAGAGUUUCUCUCGAAAGAAGUAAGUGGGAGGAAAGUAGAACUUGAUGAAGUACUACCUCUUGAACCGGAAAAAGGCGCAACUCAAGAAAAUGUUCCUGAGGUGCCUGCACCGACUAGAGAGGAAGU